This 253-nucleotide ribosomal RNA is filed under the name uncultured archaeon. Its description in RNAcentral is "partial 16S ribosomal RNA". It matches the Rfam family "Archaeal small subunit ribosomal RNA", at positions 474 to 726 of the family's 1478-position model. The record is from RNAcentral.
CACCGGCGGCUCGAGUGGUAACCGCUAUUAUUGGGUCUAAAGGGUCUGUAGCCGGCCUGGUAAGUCUUUUGGGAAAUCCGGCAGCUCAACUGUCGGGCGUUCAGAGGAUACUGCUAGGCUCGAGACCGGGAGAGGUGAGAGGUACUUCAUGGGUAGGGGUGAAAUCUUGUAAUCCUUGAAGGACCACCAGUGGCGAAGGCGUCUCACCAGAACGGAUCUGACGGCAAGGGACGAAAGCUAGGGGCACGAACCG